AGAGGGGAAACCCCAUAUUGUUGCACUGGAGCUACAACAUGUUGUUCUGAGAGCAACUUCACCAUGACGGCCACUAGUUUCAGGAAUGACUCAUGUAAGCAGACGUUCACAGAUUAUGCUUUGACAACACUCCAGGACGAUUCUUCCACCAUAUUGCCAGUUCAAAGCAGAAACCUUGUUAUCUGUUGGAAAGCUGAUGAGUCAGAUGAGAAGUGAGCAGAGACUUACGUGAGCUG
Molecule: long non-coding RNA, 236 nt
Organism: Seriola dumerili (greater amberjack)
Lineage: Eukaryota; Metazoa; Chordata; Actinopteri; Carangiformes; Carangidae
Exons: 3
Source: RefSeq, a predicted model, not a curated record